UUAAGCAUAUCAAUAAGCGGAGGAAAAGAAACCAACAGGGAUUGCCCUAGUAACGGCGAGUGAAGCGGCAAAAGCUCAAAUUUGAAAUCUGGCUUCGGCCCGAGUUGUAAUUUGUAGAGGAUGUUUCGGGCACCGCCCCGGCGUAAGUCCCUUGGAACAGGGCGUCAUAGAGGGUGAGAAUCCCGUCUGGCGUCGUGGUAGGGCCCAUGUGAAACUCCUUCGACGAGUCGAGUUGUUUGGGAAUGCAGCUCAAAAUGGGUGGUAAAUUUCAUCUAAAGCUAAAUACUGGCCAGAGACCGAUAGCGCACAAGUAGAGUGAUCGAAAGAUGAAAAGCACUUUGAAAAGAGAGUUAAACAGUAUGUGAAAUUGUUGAAAGGGAAGCGCUUACAACCAGACUUGAGCCCGUCGGUUCCCCCUCGCUUCUGCGUGGGCUACUCCGGCGGGUCCAGGCCAACAUCGGUUCGGGUGGCUGGUCAAAGGCCCCGGGAAUGUACCUCACCUUCGGGUUAGGCUUAUAGCCCGGGGUGUCAUGCGGCCUACCUGGACCGAGGAACGCGCUUCGGCUCGGAUGUUGGCGUAAUGGUUGUCAGCGACCCGUCUUGAAACACGGACCAAGGAGUCGAAGAGCUAUGCGAGUGUUUGGGUGUCAAACCCGUACGCGUAAUGAAAGUGAACGGAGGUAGGAAGCUUCGGCUGCACUAUCGACCGAUCCUGAUGUUCUCGGAUGGAUUUGAGUAAGAGCAUAACUCUCCGGACCCGAAAGAUGGUGAACUAUGCCUGAAUAGGGUGAAGCCAGAGGAAACUCUGGUGGAGGCUCGCAGCGGUUCUGACGUGCAAAUCGAUCGUCAAAUUUGGGUAUAGGGGCGAAAGACUAAUCGAACCAUCUGGUAGCUGGUUCCUGCCGAAGUUUCCCUCAGGAUAGCAGUAACGUUUUCAGUUUUAUGAGGUAAAGCGAAUGAUUAGAGGCCUUGGGGUUGAAACAACCUUAACCUAUUCUCAAACUUUAAAUAUGUAAGAAGUCCUUGUUACUUAGUUGAACGUGGACAUUUGAAUGUAUCGUUACUAGUGGGCCAUUUUUGGUAAGCAGAACUGGUGAUGCGGGAUGAACCGAACGUGAGGUUAAGGUGCCGGACUGCACGCUCAUCAGACACCACAAAAGGUGUCAAUGCAUCUAGACAGCCGGACGGUGGCCAUGGAAGUCGGAAUCCGCUUAGGAGUGUGUAACAACUCACCGGCCGAAUGCAUUGGCCCUGAAAAUGGAUGGCGCUUAAGCGUGCGACCUAUACCUCGCCGUCAGGGUUGACAUGAUGCCCUGACGAGUAGGCAGGCGUGGAGGUUUGUGACGAAGCCUUGGGGGUGACCCCGGGUCGAACAACCUCUAG
RNAcentral lists this ribosomal RNA (1383 nucleotides) under Chaetothyriales sp. A1047. Its description in RNAcentral is "LSU rRNA". It matches the Rfam family "Eukaryotic large subunit ribosomal RNA", at positions 34 to 1442 of the family's 3401-position model. The record is from RNAcentral. Lineage: Eukaryota; Fungi; Ascomycota; Eurotiomycetes; Chaetothyriales.